Molecule: long non-coding RNA, 765 nt
Organism: Camelus dromedarius (Arabian camel)
Lineage: Eukaryota; Metazoa; Chordata; Mammalia; Artiodactyla; Camelidae
Exons: 6
Source: RefSeq, a predicted model, not a curated record
CCCCGCCCCGCCGCCGCCCCCGGCUCGAAGCCACCUGGACGCGGAAGAUUCAAGCAAUUAUCUGUGUCAGAGAUGGCCAACGGCUCUCCAGGAUCCGGACGCCCCCUCCUUCCCUUUCAACUGCAGGACCCAGAGGAGCUGAAAAAUGCUCAGAGCUUCAGCAGAAUGACAUGGUGACUGAAAGGAGGCUAAGAGAAAAUGGCAAAGUUCAGAACCCAGCUCACAGAAGACACCCCAUAAAAAGUUAUUAAGAAAUCAGUGGAGAAGGUCCCAUCCCCAUCACUAUUUAUUGGGGUGAGAAGGCUGGAGAGCAACAACUACUCUAGCAAAACUACUUGCUGUUGCUGUCUCAAAAAAAUGAAAGUGAAGAAAUAAUGAGAAAAUGCUGAACUCUAAUAAAUCAUCUUCCCAUCUCCUUCCCACCCUGGAGUAGAGGGCCACCAAGCAAGGAGUCAAAGCUUCACCAGACUGCCAAAGGAAUCUAUAGCACAAAAGUCCAAGAACCUCUGCUCCAACAUCAUUGUCAUCACAGGUAAGAGCAAGAAAGAGGAAGAAGUGAAACCUGUGUUUGCAUUCUAAUGUUCUUGUCUGUGAAGAAAGCAGAGAUAUUGGAUAACUUUAAAUUUUCUUAAGAUGAGGAAACUUGAAGACCUGAGGAGAUGAAAAGACGUGUUUAAGGUAAAAUAUCUAGUUUUCUCAUUAAGUAACUGUUGAAUGAAGGGAUACCAUUACAUCAUCACCAGAUGUGUCAAGUAACGAUCGAUU